RNAcentral lists this long non-coding RNA (3201 nucleotides) under Anas zonorhyncha (Eastern spot-billed duck). RNAcentral describes it as "lncRNA (ENSAZOG00000002295.1)". The record is from RNAcentral. Lineage: Eukaryota; Metazoa; Chordata; Aves; Anseriformes; Anatidae.
CAAAAUAAAUGAUGAUCACCUGAUUUCACAAUCAAAACCAGGUUAAACUAUUUUUUUCCUUGAUUUGCCUGCAAAAGUGUGAGCAAUGCCAUGAGUUAGAGGGGACUUUCUGGUCUCAAGUUUUGCUUUUCAGUGAGUUCAGGCUUGCUUUGGAAAAUAGUUGGAACAUUUGGAAGAAAUUGAUCUGAAUUCAGAGUCUGGAGUAAAACAGUAAAGCAGCCCUGCAGGAAGACCACAGUGGCCCCAGUUCAAGCUGCAUUUGGACCUCAGUCUUCCACCUAGGGCAGAACAAACCUGCUGAACAUCCGAAGCAUGUGAAGAGCCGAAUUUACAGGGGACAGAUGGAGAAGUACACAGGCCAGAGUGCAGCGGAGGAGCUGACCUGAGGAAAGCACCGAAGAGCUGUGAACCUGACCCAAGCACAUCUCCCCUCCAGGCUCCUUGCAGCAAGAAGCCCUGCUCCAGUCUGCACCAGGAAAAGACAGCUACGGGGAUGUAACCUCAGGCUUCAACAUCCUCUGGCAUUUUGCUUCCAGAACUCCUACGUUUGUUCAGGUCUCCCUACGUUAGAUCACAUCCCUGAACUGGAUCACAGACUGGUCACCCAAGAAGAUGGACCAACACAAAAAGGACUGUGGUACAGAGAAGAGAAGUUAAAAAAAAAAAAAAAAAAAAAAAAGGCAGAGGGAUUCCUGGAUUAUUGGAAACCACAACAGCCUCAAAAGUCUCUGUAACAUGAAACUGCAGAUAAGGUUGGUCAUAGCCCGUGACGUGCAGCUGACGGCUGAGCCCAUGGGAGAAGAGCCUCCCAGCAGCAUUGUGCAAGGGGCUGAUACCGCGUCCUCCUAAAUCUUGGAGGGCUGAAGCUUAUUUGUACAACAAACAAGGCUUGACUGGAGUUUACCGUGCAGAAUUGUGCCUCUGUAACACAGUUCAGCUGUGUGUAUAUUUCAUAGCAAAGAAAAUAUAGUGAUGACUUCCACUAGGUUUCUUCAUCAGUGGCCAUUGCAUUAAUGCUAAAUGUUUGUGUGACUUGUUUGGGUUAAAAGAAGUGCAUUGGACAGGAUUCUGAAUAAAUGUAAAUUAGAAGUGACUCAUUAAAAUAUUUGGAGUUACAGGCACAAACGGGAUCAGAGUCAAGCCACUUGUCCUAGUUUCUGUCACACAAACACUAACCCUUUAUAAAUCAUUAAUUUCCAGACUGUUUAUUAUCCAGGGGAAGUAACAAAACAGUAGUAUCACAUAACACAUCCUAAGAAUGCCUUGUUCAUUUUAAGAGCAAAUAAAACUAAAUAGCACCAAGUUGUUAGUGAUGCAGCCUAUGAGACCAAGCAGAAAGACAAAAAGGGGAGCUUAAUGGGUCUGAGGCCACAAAAUAAACAGGGGAAGGGGUAAAAAAAGAAAAAGAAAAGUAGUACAAGAGUGACUUCACAUAGAGUAUCUUCACAUAGAUAUUAUUUGUUUACUACCACAUGGAAAUUCCCUGUUCAUUACAUGGUGGUGCUUUCACUGGGGAUGCCACAGCCAUGCUAUCAGAGUGUGAAUGCUUUCCACAGCUGCUGUUACCCUUCAUCAGCUUUCUCCACAGGCAUAGAACAGAGUGGAGCCACCCUUUCAAAAAAUAAUAGUCGAAAUUAAUUACUCUGUCGAGAAAACAACCUUUGGGUUGUUUCAUUUACUAGCCCCCUCUUCUAAUGUGUUUGUCACAUGUUGCCCAGAAGCUGCCCAUGAUGAGGAAAUUACAUUAACGCACAGCUGAGGAUGAGGCAGAGAAAGUGAGCACCGUGUCUGUCCUCGCUAGGACUGUGCUGAAGUUCACGACUUGCCUUUCUAUGGGGCAAGGGGACCUGCCUUGGCUGCAGGAGCCCACCCUGCCACGGGAGCCCACCCUGUGAAGGGAGCCCAUCUGGCUGCGCCAGGCAGGCUGCUGAGUUUCCCAGCCAUGCAACCUGCUUGAAAGCACAGGGAUGGAGGUGCAAAUAUGGAAGUGGGAGUUAGAUAAAACAAGUUUUUUUUCUCACCUAUUUUGUAUCAUUUCAAUGGAUAGUGCUGACAGCUGAGAGUGCACAGCUAUUUAUUCCUUGCACUUUUGCUAAUAGCAGCAACGCCAGACACCGUACUGCUUCAGUACCAUUGAGCCUUGCUAGCACAGGCUGUAUUGGCUUGUUGUCAAUUUAGCUUAAAUCCGUUCCCAGUUUCACUAGUAAAAAGUCCUUUUCUAGCCAAUAUUACUGAGCUUAUAUUGAACUGGCUUUUUUGCUAGCCUUACUUGUCAGUAAAGUAUCGUACUUUUAAAAGUGAUGUUAGCAAAACAGUAAUACAGGCCUCACAGAUGAUUUGGGUCCAUAUGUUAUUUAUUUUAAUCUCUUAAGGUUCCAAAACACUAUAUAUUUACAGUCACUCUUUAAAGUUAUUGUUAGUUACAAAAUAUUAGAAACAUAGUUUCAUCUAUAAAAUGCGUGAUUAAUUUAAUCUUUACCAUACUUUUUUGCAUCAUACAGGAAACAUUUUAGCCUGAUGAAUACCAUGGAUGUAUAAUUAGUGCUUUAUACAGUAAACUUGAUUAUAACUUACACUGUCCACCCUGGCUCCAAAAAUCCUUGCAGAUUUUAAUUCAAUUGCUGCACUUUAUCUGGAUGAAAGCAUUUGAAUUCAAUUAUUAUUAUUCUGCAUGCAUUUGUGCCUUUAUAUAGGUUAGAUGUGGUAGUAGUUUUAAAACAAGUUUAGUGGAAGUCUCAAAUUAGGCAUUAGAGUCUAUAUUUAGGCAUCUAUCAGAUUUUAAAUGCUGACCAUCUGAUUUUCCUAGCUGAGGUUUGCCAAAGUCGGGGUUUAAUGGGUAUUGAGACUGGAAGAUAAAAUUAAAGGGAAACAAAUUUUGAGAUGUUUCUGAAUUUUGAUGGGAAUUAGGCACCUGCCCUGCCUGGACUAUUGUGAAUGCCCUGUUACCUGCUUAUCUGUACCUGCCAAUGCUCAAAUGCCUUUAAAAUCUUGGCAGGAUGCUUUGGAUACCCACAUAACAGUAAACCCAUUAAAAAUCUCCUUGCUCAUUUGAUUUCUUCUUUCCAUGGCUGAGAAACUUUUAGACAUUUUUGGCAUCGAGACAUCCCUUGAGGUAGCUCUGCCCUUUUUCAUUUUAGCUGAAGAGAACUUCAUGCUAUAGCAAGUUUAAUACAUUUUUAAAAAUGGGACCCUCAAAUUGGC